AGUUUGAUCCUGGCUCAGAACGAACGCUGGCGGCAGGCUUAACACAUGCAAGUCGAGCGCCCCGCAAGGGGAGCGGCAGACGGGUGAGUAACGCGUGGGAAUCUACCCUUGACUACGGAAUAACGCAGGGAAACUUGUGCUAAUACCGUAUGUGUCCUUCGGGAGAAAGAUUUAUCGGUCAAGGAUGAGCCCGCGUUGGAUUAGCUAGUUGGUGGGGUAAAGGCCUACCAAGGCGACGAUCCAUAGCUGGUCUGAGAGGAUGAUCAGCCACAUUGGGACUGAGACACGGCCCAAACUCCUACGGGAGGCAGCAGUGGGGAAUAUUGGACAAUGGGCGCAAGCCUGAUCCAGCCAUGCCGCGUGAGUGAUGAAGGCCCUAGGGUUGUAAAGCUCUUUCACCGGAGAAGAUAAU
Molecule: ribosomal RNA, 412 nt
Filed under: Rhizobium leguminosarum
Lineage: Bacteria; Pseudomonadati; Pseudomonadota; Alphaproteobacteria; Hyphomicrobiales; Rhizobiaceae
Description: bacterial SSU rRNA
Rfam family: Bacterial small subunit ribosomal RNA
Source: RNAcentral